AGAGUUUGAUCCUGGCUCAGAUUGAACGCUGGCGGCAUGCCUUACACAUGCAAGUCGAACGGCAGCACGGGUGCUUGCACCUGGUGGCGAGUGGCGAACGGGUGAGUAAUACAUCGGAACAUGUCCUGUAGUGGGGGAUAGCCCGGCGAAAGCCGGAUUAAUACCGCAUACGAUCCACGGAUGAAAGCGGGGGACCUUCGGGCCUCGCGCUAUAGGGUUGGCCGAUGGCUGAUUAGCUAGUUGGUGGGGUAAAGGCCUACCAAGGCGACGAUCAGUAGCUGGUCUGAGAGGACGACCAGCCACACUGGGACUGAGACACGGCCCAGACUCCUACGGGAGGCAGCAGUGGGGAAUUUUGGACAAUGGGCGAAAGCCUGAUCCAGCAAUGCCGCGUGUGUGAAGAAGGCCUUCGGGUUGUAAAGCACUUUUGUCCGGAAAGAAAUCCUUGGCUCUAAUACAGUCGGGGGAUGAGGGUACCGGAAGAAUAAGCACCGGCUAACUACGUGCCAGCAGCCGCGGUAAUACGUAGGGUGCGAGCGUUAAUCGGAAUUACUGGGCGUAAAGCGUGCGCAGGCGGUCUGUUAAGACAGAUGUGAAAUCCCCGGGCUCAACCUGGGAACUGCAUUUGCGACUGGCAGGCUAGAGUAUGGCAGAGGGGGGUAGAAUUCCACGUGUAGCAGUGAAAUGCGUAGAGAUGUGGAGGAAUACCGAUGGCGAAGGCAGCCCCCUGGGCCAAUACUGACGCUCAUGCACGAAAGCGUGGGGAGCAAACAGGAUUAGAUACCCUGGUAGUCCACGCCCUAAACGAUGUCAACUAGUUGUUGGGGAUUCAUUUCCUUAGUAACGUAGCUAACGCGUGAAGUUGACCGCCUGGGGAGUACGGUCGCAGGAUUAAAACUCAAAGGAAUUGACGGGGACCCGCACAAGCGGUGGAUGAGGUGGAUUAAUUCGAUGCAACGCGAAAAACCUUACCUACCCUGGGACAUGGUCGGAAUCCUGAAGAGAUUCGGGAGUGCUCGAAAGAGAACCG
RNAcentral lists this ribosomal RNA (1030 nucleotides) under uncultured bacterium. RNAcentral describes it as "bacterial SSU rRNA". It matches the Rfam family "Bacterial small subunit ribosomal RNA", at positions 8 to 1029 of the family's 1533-position model. The record is from RNAcentral.